AACGCGAAGAACCUUACCUGGGCUAGAAUGCCUCUGACAACCUUAGAGAUAGGGCCUUCUGGGUAAAACCAGACAGAGUGCAAGGUGCUGCAUGGCUGUCGUCAGCUCGUGUCGUGAGAUGUUGGGUUAAGUCCCGCAACGAGCGCAACCCUUAUCAAUAGUUGCCAGCGGUUCGGCCGGGCACUCUAUUGAGACUGCCGUUGACAAAACGGAGGAAGGUGGGGAUGACGUCAAGUCCUCAUGGCCUUUAUGUCCAGGGCUACACACGUGCUACAAUGGCCGGUACAAACCGCCGCAAACUCGCAAGAGGGAGCCAAUCGGAAAAAGCCGGUCUCAGUUCGGAUUGGAGUCUGCAACUCGACUCCAUGAAGCUGGAAUCGCUAGUAGUCGCAGAUCAGCAUGCUGCGGUGAAUACGUUCCCGGGUCUGUACACACCG
Molecule: ribosomal RNA, 437 nt
Filed under: uncultured bacterium
Lineage: Bacteria
Description: bacterial SSU rRNA
Rfam family: Bacterial small subunit ribosomal RNA
Source: RNAcentral